CACUCCUACGGGAGGCAGCAGUGGGGAAUAUUGGACAAUGGGCGCAAGCCUGAUCCAGCCAUGCCGCGUGAGUGAUGAAGGCCCUAGGAUUGUAAAGCUCUUUCACCGGUGAAGAUAAUGACGGUAACCGGAGAAGAAGCCCCGGCUAACUUCGUGCCAGCAGCCGCGGUAAUACGAAGGGGGCUAGCGUUGUUCGGAUUUACUGGGCGUAAAGCGCACGUAGGCGGACUAUUAAGUCAGGGGUGAAAUCCCGGGGCUCAACCCCGGAACUGCCUUUGAUACUGGUAGUCUUGAGUUCGAGAGAGGUGAGUGGAAUUCCGAGUGUAGAGGUGAAAUUCGUAGAUAUUCGGAGGAACACCAGUGGCGAAGGCGGCUCACUGGCUCGAUACUGACGCUGAGGUGCGAAAGCGUGGGGAGCAAACAGGAUUAGAAACCCCUGUAGUCCCA
Molecule: ribosomal RNA, 447 nt
Filed under: uncultured organism
Description: partial 16S ribosomal RNA
Rfam family: Bacterial small subunit ribosomal RNA
Source: RNAcentral